AUCUCCGAUCACCGUCUCUCUUCC
Molecule: non-coding RNA, 24 nt
Filed under: Arabidopsis thaliana (thale cress)
Lineage: Eukaryota; Viridiplantae; Streptophyta; Magnoliopsida; Brassicales; Brassicaceae
Source: RNAcentral